GGAGGAAAAGAAACUAACAAGGAUUCCCUUAGUAACUGCGAGUGAAGAGGGAAAAGCUCAAAUUUUAAAUCUGGUAGUCUUUGGCUAUCCGAGUUGUAAUUUAGAGAAGUGUUAUCCGCGCUGGACCGUGUAUAAGUCUCCUGGAAUGGAGCGUCAUAGAGGGUGAGAAUCCCGUCUUUGACACGGACUACCAGGGCUUUGUGAUGCGCUCUCAAAGAGUCGAGUUGUUUGGGAAUGCAGCUCUAAAUGGGUGGUAAAUUCCAUCUAAAGCUAAAUACUGGCGAGAGACCGAUAGUGAACAAGUACCGUGAGGGAAAGAUGAAAAGAACUUUGGAAAGAGAGUUAAAUAGUACGUGAAAUUGUUGAAAGGGAAACGCUUGAAGUCAGUCGUGUUAAUUAGAGAUCAACCUUGCUUUUAUUGCUUGGUGUAUUUUCUGGUUAAUGGGUCAGCAUCAAUUUUGACUAGUGGAAAAAGGUCAGGGGAAUGUGGCAUCCUUGGAUGUGUUAUAGCCCUUGGUUGUAUACAUUGGUUGGGAUUGAGGAACUCAGCAUGCCGCAAGGCCAGGUUUUUAAAACCAUGUUCAUGCUUACGAUGCUGGCAUAAUGGCUUUAAUCGACCCGUCUUGAAACACGGA
RNAcentral lists this ribosomal RNA (635 nucleotides) under Entoloma fragilum. RNAcentral describes it as "LSU rRNA". It matches the Rfam family "Eukaryotic large subunit ribosomal RNA", at positions 52 to 665 of the family's 3401-position model. The record is from RNAcentral. Lineage: Eukaryota; Fungi; Basidiomycota; Agaricomycetes; Agaricales; Entolomataceae.